RNAcentral lists this transfer RNA (73 nucleotides) under Planctomycetota bacterium. Its description in RNAcentral is "tRNA-Lys". It matches the Rfam family "tRNA". Rfam says of the family: Transfer RNA (tRNA) molecules are approximately 80 nucleotides in length. Their secondary structure includes four short double-helical elements and three loops (D, anti-codon, and T loops). Lineage: Bacteria; Pseudomonadati; Planctomycetota. The record is from RNAcentral.
GCCCCUCUAGCUCAGUUGGCAGAGCAGCUGACUCUUAAUCAGCGGGUCAAAGGUUCGAGUCCUUUGGGGGGCA